RNAcentral lists this ribosomal RNA (447 nucleotides) under uncultured bacterium. Its description in RNAcentral is "partial 16S ribosomal RNA". It matches the Rfam family "Bacterial small subunit ribosomal RNA", at positions 330 to 793 of the family's 1533-position model. The record is from RNAcentral.
CCCAGACUCCUACGGGAGGCAGCAGUGGGGGAUAUUGCACAAUGGGGGGAACCCUGAUGCAGCGACGCCGCGUGGGUGAAGGAGCGUUUCGGCGCGUAAAGCCCUAUCGGCAGGGAAGAAGGAGGACGGUACCUGACUAAGAAGCCCCGGCUAACUACGUGCCAGCAGCCGCGGUAAUACGUAGGGGGCAAGCGUUAUCCGGAUUUACUGGGUGUAAAGGGGGCGCAGACGGCAGCGCAAGCCAGGAGUGAAAGCCCGGGGCCCAACCCCGGGACUGCUCUUGGAACUGCGCGGCUGGAGUGCAGGAGGGGCAGGCGGAAUUCCUGGUGUAGCGGUGAAAUGCGUAGAUAUCAGGAGGAACACCGGUGGCGAAGGCGGCCUGCUGGACUGCGACUGACGUUGAGGCCCGAAAGCGUGGGGAGCAAACAGGAUUAGAUACCCCUGUAU